This 209-nucleotide long non-coding RNA is filed under the name Elaeis guineensis (African oil palm). RNAcentral's name for it is "long non-coding RNA (EGUI_LNC033061)". Lineage: Eukaryota; Viridiplantae; Streptophyta; Magnoliopsida; Arecales; Arecaceae. The record is from RNAcentral.
CCAUCUUACUGGUAAUCCUUUCUUCCCCCUCCUCUUGUUCAUCCUCUUCUACUUUUUCUACCCUCCUUCUCCAAGUCCGUCCAUAAGCCGUCCUUCCUCAUGGCAACUCUCUCCACCUUCUCUCUUUCCUCAUCAGCGACCCCACCUUUUCCUCUUCCCCUUUCUCACCCACUUCUCUUUCUUAUCCUUCUCUACCUCUAAGCCUACCC